RNAcentral lists this ribosomal RNA (482 nucleotides) under uncultured bacterium. RNAcentral's name for it is "partial 16S ribosomal RNA". It matches the Rfam family "Bacterial small subunit ribosomal RNA", at positions 28 to 523 of the family's 1533-position model. The record is from RNAcentral.
GAUGAACGCUGGCGGCGUGCCUAGUACAUGCAAGUCGAGCGAACCACUUCGGUGGUGAGCGGCGAACGGGUGAGUAACACGUAGGUUAUCUGCCCAUCAGACGGGGACAACGAUUGGAAACGAUCGCUAAUACCGGAUAGGACGAAAGUUUAAAGGCGCUUCGGCACCACUGAUGGAUGAGCCUGCGGCGCAUUAGCUAGUUGGUAGGGUAAAGGCCUACCAAGGCGACGAUGCGUAGCCGACCUGAGAGGGUGAACGGCCACACUGGGACUGAGACACGGCCCAGACUCCUACGGGAGGCAGCAGUAGGGAAUCUUCGGCAAUGGUCGAAAGCCUGACCGAGCAACGCCGCGUGAAUGAUGAAGGCCUUCGGGUUGUAAAAUUCUGUUAUAAGGGAAGAAUGGCUCUAGUAGGAAAUGGCUAGAGUGUGACGGUACCUUAUGAGAAAGCCACGGCUAACUACGUGCCAGCCGCCGCAGUAA